Mycena rebaudengoi is the source of this 94-nucleotide non-coding RNA. The record is from the annotation of a GenBank genome assembly. Lineage: Eukaryota; Fungi; Basidiomycota; Agaricomycetes; Agaricales; Mycenaceae.
UCGGGUAUGGUGUACGGUGCACCUCUCCUUCAUGUAAAUAGCCUCCUCUCCCACGUGGAUGGAGAAAGCCGGGGUUCGACUCCCCGUGCCCGAA